UGGGGAAUAUUGGACAAUGGGCGAAAGCCUGAUCCAGCAAUGCCGCGUGAGUGAUGAAGGCCUUAGGGUUGUAAAGCUCUUUUACCCGGGAAGAUAAUGACUGUACCGGGAGAAUAAGCCCCGGCUAACUCCGUGCCAGCAGCCGCGGUAAUACGGAGGGGGCUAGCGUUGUUCGGAAUUACUGGGCGUAAAGCGCACGUAGGCGGUUUUGUAAGUCAGAGGUGAAAGCCCGGGGCUCAACCCCGGAAUUGCCUUUGAGACUGCAUCACUUGAUCGUCGGAGAGGUGAGUGGAAUUCCGAGUGUAGAGGUGAAAUUCGUAGAUAUUCGGAAGAACACCAGUGGCGAAGGCGGCUCACUGGACGACUGAUGACGCUGAGGUGCGAAAGCGUGGGGAGCAAACAG
Molecule: ribosomal RNA, 403 nt
Filed under: uncultured bacterium
Lineage: Bacteria
Description: bacterial SSU rRNA
Rfam family: Bacterial small subunit ribosomal RNA
Source: RNAcentral